This 224-nucleotide ribosomal RNA is filed under the name uncultured bacterium. RNAcentral's name for it is "partial 16S ribosomal RNA". It matches the Rfam family "Bacterial small subunit ribosomal RNA", at positions 114 to 334 of the family's 1533-position model. The record is from RNAcentral.
UACAUAAGUAACCUGGCCUUUACAGGGGAUAACUGUUGGAAACGAUAGCUAAGACCGCAUAGGUGUGAUAACCGCAUGGAGAUGACAUGAAAUAUGCUACGGCGUAGGUAGAGGAUGGACUUAUGGCGCAUUAGCUAGUUGGAGGGGUAACGGCCCACCAAGGCGACGAUGCGUAGCCGACCUGAGAGGGUGACCGGCCACAUUGGGACUGAGACACGGCCCAG